Long non-coding RNA from Parus major (Great Tit), 384 nucleotides. RefSeq lists it as uncharacterized. Lineage: Eukaryota; Metazoa; Chordata; Aves; Passeriformes; Paridae. The record is from RefSeq and is a predicted model, not a curated record. The transcript is spliced from 3 exons.
GAGCGGGAAAACGUGAGGGGAAAAGAGCGGGAAAACGUGAGGGAGCGGAAAGGAGAGGAGCUGCCAGAGCUGCAGAAAGAAGGCUGCAGUGAUGGAUCCACGCAGUGAGGGGCCCUACGGCCGAGACCGCCUGAGACCACCGUGUGUCCCCAAGUCCCCCUGGCCCAGGGACAAGGUGGUCCUGGGGGUCCCCAGGAGACGCAGCGUCCCCGUGUCCUGCCCGGUUCUCCCCUCAGGUCCCCCCAGGGGGAUCCCACGCGUGGAGGUGCUGCUGAGGCAGGUCCACAGAUCGCAGAAAGUCCUGCAGACCACGGUGGAGGAGCUGGUGAAGGCACAGGACUGCAGUGAGGGGUUGUGCCAGCACCUGGAGCAGCGUGAGUCAGC